Molecule: long non-coding RNA, 1743 nt
Organism: Mercenaria mercenaria
Lineage: Eukaryota; Metazoa; Mollusca; Bivalvia; Venerida; Veneridae
Exons: 6
Source: RefSeq, a predicted model, not a curated record
GUUUCUUGUUUAAUACUUAAUUUUAGGAUGGCAUAAUUGAAAUCUGAAUAGUCAAAUUUUACAUUUAUACUCUGUAGCAGAUACAUAUAAAAGAUGUUAAAAUUUGUUGCUCACACUGUAUAUGCAUUACAUGUUGAUUUUACACUUCAAUUUUACUAUAAAAGGUAUAUUUAUAUUAUUGCCAUGAAAUUAAAUGUUUAUUUAUAACUUCCAGUUGCAGAACUAUUCCGGCUCUGAAGAGUGUGUUACAUCACCUGCCAGUGGUCAUGAGCUGAGCAAACCUGUCAAGCUCAUUACAGAUUUCACAAUACUGAAGUGGAGUUGAGGGAAAUGGAGAGAUGAUAGAUUCACAAGGUUCCAGUGACGAUUUUGGAGGGAAUGGAAGGGACAUGUAGAUCAUUGACAGAUGAAAUGAGGAAACAAGUGCUAGGCAUUUAAAGUGCAACCUCUGUAGAGCAACACCCUUUUUGAAAGUGUUCUUCAGAACAUCUUGGAUUUUAUGGAUGAGGGGCCAUUAUUUAAAGGUUUCAUGAAGGACUGUGAAGCUGGUCUCCAUACAGACUUGACCAGUUAUGGUUCCUUGAAGAUUUUAUGACAAGACUGGAGGAAGCCUAUUUACUAGCUGACAGUGCCGAAGUGGUUAUUGUUGAAGAAUAGUAAAGGAUUACAUUUCUGUGCGGAAGGAUUAAAAAACUACACCAGACUGGUGGCCAUGACAGAUGUCAGUGGGAAAUUUAAACAUGGACUAGAUACUUUAAUGUGUAGCAAAAAAGUUCAUCGUUGAUGGUGGUGUUUUUCUGUGAUAUAUUGACUGGGAUAGUAUUACUCUUCAGAAAUACAGAGCUGUCAAUGCUGCAAUUUUAUGGUGAAAUUCACAAUCCAUGUCCAAAAGUGCUUGUUUUACUAUACAGCAAAGAAGGAGAAAUUGUACUGGGCCGACACCAUUAGAUCGUAUGCAAUUUGGAGAUCUCAACAGUUAUAUGCAGUCGGGGAUAUUGUCAGUUGCAUGCAGUCAGGGGAUCUUGACAGAUGUAUGCAGUCAGGGGAUCUCGACAGUUGUAUGCAGUCAAGAGAUCACGACAGUUGUAUGCAGUCAGGAGAUCACGACAGUUGUAUGCAGUCCGGGAAUCUCGGCAGUUGUAUGCAGUCAGGAGAUCACGACAGUACUUCGCAGUCCAGGGAUCUUGACAGUUGUAUGCAGUCAGGAGAUCUUGGAUCUUUUGUACUGUUGACAUUCUCAAGAUUCUGUCUUAAAUAAAACCUACUUGGACAGCUUAAAAGCUUCUCUAUAACUUGCCUGUGACAUUCUAAAGUAGAAGACAUGUGUAUGAAUAUUUAGUUCCGGCAUGCAGUACUUGAGCAGUUGAGUUUUGGAAAGGUGGCAGUUUGAAUGUUUACAGUGAUCUCUGUAAACUAUUAAUUGGCAAAUUGAUGGGGAUUUUGGUAGUAAAUAUGUUAUCAGUGGUGCAAGACUGGAAUUUUGACCAAAUUCUAAGAAUUUUGACUCUAAGGUGAAAAAGUGGACUAAUCGCAUGAUAGGCAUCUAUACCUUUGCGCAGGCUAUAAAGAAGUGUCAUCUUUUUCAUGGGUAGUUUCGAGGACUUUUAUAACUUUUUUUUUUUUUUUUUGGCAGUUUGUGUAUUUUUGAAUGUGUUGAAGCACAAUGAGGAACCUUUGGACUUAACAGCAGUGUCAGAACAGGAUAACUGGUUCGGCUGGCCGGUCUGGGACGUCCAAUGCCCA